GACGAACGCUGGCGGCGUGCUUAACACAUGCAAGUCGAACGGAAAGGCCCUGCUUUUGUGGGGUGCUCGAGUGGCGAAAGGGUGAGUAACACGUGAGUAACCUGCCCUUGACUUUGGGAUAACUUCAGGAAACUGGGGCUAAUACCGGAUAGGAGCUCCUGCUGCAUGGUGGGGGUUGGAUAGUUUCGGCGGUUGGGGAUGGACUCGCGGCUUAUCAGCUUGUUGGUGGGGUAGUGGCUUACCAAGGCUUUGACGGGUAGCCGGCCUGAGAGGGUGACCGGCCACAUUGGGACUGAGAUACGGGCCAGACUCCUACGGGAGGCAGCAGUGGGAAAUAGUGCACACUGGGCGGAAGCCUGAUGCAGCAACGCCGCGUGCGGGAUGACGGCCGUCGGGUUGUAAACCGCUUUCGCCUGUGACGAAGCGUGAGUGACGGUAAUGGGUAAAGAAGCACCGGCUAACUACGUG
Molecule: ribosomal RNA, 468 nt
Filed under: uncultured bacterium
Lineage: Bacteria
Description: partial 16S ribosomal RNA
Rfam family: Bacterial small subunit ribosomal RNA
Source: RNAcentral